This 23-nucleotide small nuclear RNA is filed under the name Arabidopsis thaliana (thale cress). RNAcentral describes it as "snRNA_02901". Lineage: Eukaryota; Viridiplantae; Streptophyta; Magnoliopsida; Brassicales; Brassicaceae. The record is from RNAcentral.
CAAAUGUAAAGUGUACGCUGUGU